RNAcentral lists this transfer RNA (109 nucleotides) under Burkholderia ubonensis. Its description in RNAcentral is "tRNA-Val". It matches the Rfam family "tRNA". Rfam says of the family: Transfer RNA (tRNA) molecules are approximately 80 nucleotides in length. Their secondary structure includes four short double-helical elements and three loops (D, anti-codon, and T loops). Further hydrogen bonds mediate the characteristic L-shaped molecular structure. tRNAs have two regions of fundamental functional importance: the anti-codon, which is responsible for specific mRNA codon recognition, and the 3' end, to which the tRNAs corresponding amino acid is attached (by aminoacyl-tRNA synthetases). tRNAs cope with the degeneracy of the genetic code in two manners: having more than one tRNA (with a specific anti-codon) for a particular amino acid; and 'wobble' base-pairing, i.e. permitting non-standard base-pairing at the 3rd anti-codon position. The record is from RNAcentral. Lineage: Bacteria; Pseudomonadati; Pseudomonadota; Betaproteobacteria; Burkholderiales; Burkholderiaceae.
CGCGGCGUAGCUCAGUGGACAGAGCGCCUGGCUGACGACGUACCGGAGGAGAUUGCAUCCCUCGGUAUGGGCCAGGAGGGCGUGGGUUCAACUCCCACCGCCGCACCCA